GGGGCUGUAGCUCAGCUGGGAGAGCACCUGCUUUGCAAGCAGGGGGUCAGGAGUUCGAUCCUCCUCAGCUCCA
Molecule: transfer RNA, 73 nt
Organism: Acidobacterium capsulatum ATCC 51196
Lineage: Bacteria; Pseudomonadati; Acidobacteriota; Terriglobia; Terriglobales; Acidobacteriaceae
Rfam family: tRNA
About the family: Transfer RNA (tRNA) molecules are approximately 80 nucleotides in length.
Source: Rfam